CCAGGCCCUGGCUUUGGCCAUCAAGGAGGCCAAACUGCAGCAUCCUGAUAUGCUGGUAACCAAAGCUGUCGUAUACAGAGAAACAGACCCAUCCCCAGAGGAGAGGGACAAGAAGCCACAGGAAUCCUGACCUCUGUGAAGAGAUCCUGGCAUUUCUGGUCCAACCCAAGCCAGAGAACCAUUAAGAAGGGGCCUUCAUUCUGGAUUCUCCGACGCAACACUGACGUCCCAGCUGCGACGUACUGUCACUGAUGAGAGACUGGGAAGGGAAAAGCAUAUAUAUAUAGAUAUAUAGAGAUAUAGAUAUAUAUACAGGAAACACCGCAUCCUUGCACUGCUGCUGGGGCUGGCAGAGCAGUUGGCUGACAGCAACAACCGACAUCUGAACACCUACAUUUCCUUUGCAGACAAAUUGAAGAACUGGUGGGAUUUUUUUCAAGAAAAAAAAUUAUAUAAUAACUAUAAUCCCUUGCUCACCCCUUUCCCCCGCCAAAUAAGAAACGCAAGCCAGACCACGAUGAUUGUAGAAGUCCCUCCCGCCCUGGUUCUGCACGUUACAGUUAGCAGACGAGCAAUUCCAUUUGUUCUUCUCCAGCAUCUCUAAGGCCCACUUGAAUGCAAAGGAAAACACUUGCACAGCAAAGCAAGAGAAGUCACAGCAGCAAGACACGCACAGUCAACCAUUUUCCGAGAAAAAAAGAAAAUUCCCCACUUGGAAAGAAAGAGGAGGAACACUGGAUUCUUACUUUCUGGAUCUUGACACUGGGCUGCAAAACCUACCUUCCUCUCUCCCGCCUCCCCUCACCCUCAACUCUCAAUGUCUUGCUGUCAUUUUCUGUCUCGGCUCCCUCCUCCCCCUUCCCCCUUCCCCCACCCCACACCCUUCACCCUCUGUGUCCUGGUCCUUCUGAGGGCCACUGCAGAUGACUCUCCUUUGAAAUGAGAAAAAGAAAAGAAAGCAAGAA
Molecule: long non-coding RNA, 965 nt
Filed under: Homo sapiens (human)
Lineage: Eukaryota; Metazoa; Chordata; Mammalia; Primates; Hominidae
Description: HSALNT0266736
Source: RNAcentral